Molecule: ribosomal RNA, 258 nt
Filed under: Troglotrematidae sp. 3LF-1470
Lineage: Eukaryota; Metazoa; Platyhelminthes; Trematoda; Plagiorchiida; Troglotrematidae
Also listed under: 3 other names
Description: partial 28S ribosomal RNA
Rfam family: Eukaryotic large subunit ribosomal RNA
Source: RNAcentral
UUCCUGACCUCGGAUCAGACGUGAUUACCCGCUGAACUUAAGCAUAUCACUAAGCGGAGGAAAAGAAACUAACAAGGAUUCCCUUAGUAUCGGCGAGUGAACAGGGAAAAGCCCAGCACCGAAGCCUGUGGUCAUUUGAUCACUAGGCAAUGUGGUGUUCAGGUCGUUCCGUUGAGGUACUGCUCCACCCUAAGUCCAACAAUGAGUACGGUAGUACGGACAUGGCCCACAGAGGGUGAAAGGCCCGUGGGGGUGGAG